UGAGGAAUAUUGGACAAUGGGCGCAAGCCUGAUCCAGCCAUGCCGCGUGCAGGAAGAAGCAUCUAUGGUGUGUAAACUGCUUUUGUACGGGAAGAAACACUCCUUCGUGAAGGAGCUUGACGGUACCGUAAGAAUAAGGAUCGGCUAACUCCGUGCCAGCAGCCGCGGUAAUACGGAGGAUCCAAGCGUUAUCCGGAAUCAUUGGGUUUAAAGGGUCCGUAGGCGGUUUAGUAAGUCAGUGGUGAAAGCCCAUCGAUCAACGAUAGAACGGCCAUUGAUACUGCUAAACUUGAAUUAUAGGAAGUAACUAGAAUAUGUAGUAUAGCGGUGAAAUGCAUAGAUAUUACAUGGAAUACCAAUUGCGAAGGCAGGUUACUACUAAUGGAUUGACGCUGAUGGAAGAAAGCGUGGGGAGCGAACA
Molecule: ribosomal RNA, 421 nt
Filed under: uncultured bacterium
Lineage: Bacteria
Description: bacterial SSU rRNA
Rfam family: Bacterial small subunit ribosomal RNA
Source: RNAcentral